Molecule: unclassified non-coding RNA, 501 nt
Filed under: Hevea brasiliensis (rubber tree)
Lineage: Eukaryota; Viridiplantae; Streptophyta; Magnoliopsida; Malpighiales; Euphorbiaceae
Source: RNAcentral
AGAACUUUAUGCUUUUUUGAGUACAAUGUAAUGAGAACCUACAUAGCUGAAUUUUAUACACCUUAAUAAUAGAAACAAAGAAGAAUGGCAGCUCUCCUACAAAAGAAACUGCAGGUAGUUGGUUAUACAUAUACCGGCUAAGCUUUUCGACUUCUCAGAUCAACAAAAAAGGUGGAUCCAUCGGUAUGAGGGGAAGAAAUCUCUACAAGUUAUCGACGUCUGCCAGGGGCAUUUUCCAGUAGUUCCAUAAGUUAUAAUCUUCCUGCUCAACCAUGGAUGUAGGAGGGAACAUGUCAUUAACUAGAGUGUGUAAUGAAGUAUAGGAUUUCACGUCGAUUUGGUGGUUAAUAGCUACCUCCCCCUUUGGGUUUAUUAUAAAAAUUUUGCCUUUUGGAAUUCCAAUUUUCCUGUAACUGAGCUCAUCAGUGUCCCUAUUCCCGAAUCCCGCAUAAAAAGGGUUAUAGUCUGGUGGAAAAAGUGCUUUUAUGUCCUCUAAGCAUG